This 459-nucleotide long non-coding RNA is filed under the name Scleropages formosus (Asian bonytongue). RNAcentral's name for it is "lncRNA (ENSSFOG00015025370.1)". The record is from RNAcentral. Lineage: Eukaryota; Metazoa; Chordata; Actinopteri; Osteoglossiformes; Osteoglossidae.
CUCUGUACAUUGUAUGUGUCUGAGUUCUGUCUUCUCCCAUGCUUCGUGCAAGAUGGUGCAGCAUUUUUGACACGUCCUUACCAAACUUGUGUUUAUAGUAAAAUACUGUUAUUAUUACAACAUUCAGUUAAAGAUCCAAGAAGCAGAGAUGUUUGUAUGUGCUGUGGCCAUCAAUGUUGGGAACAACGCAACCAUACUGCUCCUGUUCGGACCCGCUCACCACCCCAACAUACUCUGCAGCACAACUCCGAAAUAAGUUUUUUUAGACAAACAACUGAGACAUCCUUGAACAGCUAUACACAAGGACCCAGUCCAACCACCAACCGAAAGCCACAUAGAACAACUCAGGACAGCCAACAAACAUCUUCAUGACCUGAGACCCAGAAGCUUAACUGACUUCUUCAACCCACCCACCAAACCAAAACUAAUCCCACCAACCCAACCAACAAACCAAAUCUA